RNAcentral lists this ribosomal RNA (460 nucleotides) under uncultured bacterium. RNAcentral's name for it is "partial 16S ribosomal RNA". It matches the Rfam family "Bacterial small subunit ribosomal RNA", at positions 338 to 795 of the family's 1533-position model. The record is from RNAcentral.
CCUACGGGAGGCAGCAGUGAGGAAUAUUGGUCAAUGGGCGCGACCCUGAACCAGCCAAGUAGCGUGAAGGAUGACUGCCCUACGGGUUGUAAACUUCUUUUAUAAAGGAAUAAAGUGAGGCACGUGUGCCUUAUUGCAGGUACUUUAUGAAUAAGGAUCGGCUAACUCCGUGCCAGCAGCCGCGGUAAUACGGAGGAUCCGAGCGUUAUCCGGAUUUAUUGGGUUUAAAGGGAGCGUAGAUGGGUUGUUAAGUCAGUUGUGAAAGUUUGCGGCUCAACCGUGAAAUUGCAAUGCAUACUGGCAGCCUUGAGUGCACUGGAGGUAGGCGGAAUUCGUGGUGUAGCGGUGAAAUGCUUAGAUAUCACGAAGAACUCCGAUUGCGAAGGCAGCCUACUAAACUGCCACUGACAUUGAUGCUCGAAAGUGCGGGUAUCAAACAGGAUUAGAUACCCUGGUAGUC